AUACAUACCUGACAGGGGAGAUACCAUUAUCAUGAGGGUGUUUUUUCCAGGGUGAGGCUUAUCCAUUGCACUCUGGGUGUGCUGAUCCCUGCAAUUUUCCCAAAUGUGGGAAACUCGACUGUAUAGUUUGUGGUAGUGGGAAACUGUUUUUGCACUCUCCCCUC
Molecule: small nuclear RNA, 164 nt
Organism: Echinops telfairi (small Madagascar hedgehog)
Lineage: Eukaryota; Metazoa; Chordata; Mammalia; Afrosoricida; Tenrecidae
Gene: U1
Rfam family: U1 spliceosomal RNA
About the family: U1 is a small nuclear RNA (snRNA) component of the spliceosome (involved in pre-mRNA splicing).
Source: Ensembl